AUUGAACGCUGGCGGCAUGCUUUACACAUGCAAGUCGAACGGUAACAGGGUGCUUGCACCGCUGACGAGUGGCGAACGGGUGAGUAAUACAUCGGAAUGUACCCAGUAAUGGGGGAUAACGCUUUGAAAGGAGUGCUAAUACCGCAUACGCCCUGAGGGGGAAAGUGGGGGACCGCAAGGCCUCACGUUAUUGGAGCAGCCGAUGGCUGAUUAGCUAGUUGGUGAGGUAAAGGCUCACCAAGGCGACGAUCAGUAGCGGGUCUUAGUGGACGAUCCGCCACACUGGAACUGAGACACGGUCCAGACUCCUACGGGAGGCAGCAGUGGGGAAUCUUGGACAAUGGGCGAAAGCCUGAUCCAGCAAUGCCGCGUGCGUGAAGAUGGCCUUCGGGUUGUAAAGCGCUUUUGUCUGGGAGCAAAUCCUGGCCUCUAAUACAGGUCGGGGAUGAGAGUACCAGAAGAAUAAGGACCGGCUAACUACGUGCCAGCCGCCGCGGUAA
RNAcentral lists this ribosomal RNA (500 nucleotides) under uncultured bacterium. RNAcentral's name for it is "partial 16S ribosomal RNA". It matches the Rfam family "Bacterial small subunit ribosomal RNA", at positions 30 to 523 of the family's 1533-position model. The record is from RNAcentral.